This 286-nucleotide long non-coding RNA is filed under the name Capsicum annuum. RNAcentral describes it as "long non-coding RNA (CANN_LNC004285)". Lineage: Eukaryota; Viridiplantae; Streptophyta; Magnoliopsida; Solanales; Solanaceae. The record is from RNAcentral.
GUUUGACCUCUUAGAAGAAACUUUAUUAGUAAAAUUCAUUAUUAUCAGAUGAUUUGUUUCCUUUUGCAUGGGUUUUGUGGAAUUUAAUUUCCUAUUUCAUACCUUCAGAAGAAACACAACAAAGUGGAAAAUUCCAGCACAACGGCCAAGUCUUGUUUCUUUAUAGAAGAAGAAUAUUCCAUUCUGAUGGACUGAAGUUUCUCAGGAUAUUAGCGUACCUUCCUUAAGUUUCUUAUACCUUGUGAUUCUUUUUCGAGUUUAAGUUAUUUUUUAUCCCUUGUACUAU